RNAcentral lists this ribosomal RNA (460 nucleotides) under uncultured bacterium. RNAcentral describes it as "partial 16S ribosomal RNA". It matches the Rfam family "Bacterial small subunit ribosomal RNA", at positions 338 to 795 of the family's 1533-position model. The record is from RNAcentral.
CCUACGGGAGGCAGCAGUGAGGAAUAUUGGUCAAUGGACGCAAGUCUGAACCAGCCAAGUCGCGUGCAGGAAGACUGCCCUAUGGGUUGUAAACUGCUUUUGUAUGGGAGUAAAAUGUUCCACGUGUGGGAGUUUGUAUGUAUCAUAUGAAUAAGGAUCGGCUAACUCCGUGCCAGCAGCCGCGGUAAUACGGAGGAUCCGAGCGUUAUCCGGAUUUAUUGGGUUUAAAGGGAGCGUAGGUGGCUUGUUAAGUCAGUUGUGAAAGUUUGCGGCUCAACCGCAAAACUGCCGUUGAAACUGGCAGUCUGGAGUAUAGUAGAGGUGGGCGGAAUGCGUGGUGUAGCGGUGAAAUGCUUAGAUAUCACGAAGAACUCCGAUUGCGAAGGCAGCUUACUGGACUGCAACUGACACUGAGGCUCGAAAGCGUGGGUAUCAAACAGGAUUAGAUACCCUAGUAGUC